CACACACCACGACAAGGAGUAUUGUUGAAAGGACAAUAGGCCAGCUGAAGCGCAGGUUCCACUGCCUGCACGCCGAGCUGCGCAUGGAGCCAAGCAGAUGCUGCGACAUCAUCGUGGCAUGCUGCGUGCUCCACAAUCUCGCCAAGAGAUACCCCUGCGCGAUGCCAGGGACUGCCAUCCCGCCUGAGGUUCCUGUGGAGCCCAUGGCAGCCGGCCGUGGAGAAAGCAACGAGGCCCGGCGUGCCCUUGUCGACCAGUUCUUCUGUUGAGCGAGGUUCUCCGCCUCCAUCUGCUGCUGGUCCUCAGCUUGCUGCUGAUACCUCUGCGC
Ixodes scapularis (black-legged tick) is the source of this 328-nucleotide long non-coding RNA. RefSeq lists it as uncharacterized. The record is from RefSeq and is a predicted model, not a curated record. The transcript has 3 exons. NCBI's taxonomy places the organism in Eukaryota, Metazoa, Arthropoda, Arachnida, Ixodida, Ixodidae.